CACCACUCAAGCCUGGCUUGGUAUUGGGCGUCGCGGUUCCGCGCGCCUUAAAGUUUCCGGCUGAGCUGUCCGUCUCUAAGCGUUGUGACACAUAUUCGCUUCGGAGCGCGGGCGGUUCUACGGCCGUUAAAUCUUUCUUAA
RNAcentral lists this unclassified non-coding RNA (141 nucleotides) under uncultured Pseudocercospora. RNAcentral describes it as "sequence contains ITS2". Lineage: Eukaryota; Fungi; Ascomycota; Dothideomycetes; Mycosphaerellales; Mycosphaerellaceae. The record is from RNAcentral.